RNAcentral lists this long non-coding RNA (2176 nucleotides) under Citrus x clementina. RNAcentral describes it as "Citrus clementina (C. clementina) long non-coding RNA (CCLE_LNC001279)". Lineage: Eukaryota; Viridiplantae; Streptophyta; Magnoliopsida; Sapindales; Rutaceae. The record is from RNAcentral.
AUAUAAAAUUAAAUAAACAUUUAUCAUCAUUAAAUAAUUCUUACCGACAGAUGUUAGUUGGGGGUAAGCCUGCUAGACUGGUUGUUGCAGCAACAUCAUUAGAAUGGGGACGUUAUUGAAAACGCUACAACUUUUGCCCCCGUCAAUGUCGAGAAAUAAAAGAGGGAAUCGCCUUUUCCAGCUGAGGAUGGUGUUAAAGUUGAGAGCUUAUUUAAAAGACUCAGAAAUAUUCACUGCUUCAAUUUCUUCGCAAUCCACCUUUGAAGUGGGCAACAAAAACUGUGCGAAUGAGAAACAACAAUGCCUUGUAGUUUUCACUUUUCAGUUUGGCAGCAUGAAAAUUACAGGAGAGGUGAAUAAAUUUGCCGGGACAAAAGACAUGAGAAAAAUUAUUGCCAUGAGAAAAAAGUUCUGAACUUUCUGAGAAAAAAAUGUGGCUGAAAACCCAUAAAAGUUAUAAGCAGUUGUUUGACCUUUUUUUUUUUUUUUCCAAUUUUUCAAUUAUUACUAUCUAUCUAUCUAUGUAGCAUAUAAUAUAUAGAUAUAGCUCUAAAAUCUAUCUCAGCAAUAAUUAGGAGUAUGUUGUGUUCUUAAAUUUGAUGUGUGGCAAAUGUAUGAAUAAUUCCAAGAAUUAGGAAUUUAUGUUGUGAUUUAUUCUAUGAUGCCAUAAUUUAUUAAUAUUGUAAUGAGACAAAAGACUUCUAAAAUUAAUAUAAAAUUUAUAAGUAGUAAGUGUAAAAUAAUUUGAGGGAAGGGCACAGGUCGGGUUUGGCUGGUUUCAACUCAAGCCGAACCCGAACUCAAUCAAUCGGGUUGAGAUUUUCUCAAUACGUAGCUGGUCUAAGCAUGAACAGAAACUGAGUCGAACCGCACCAGAAAUUUCGUCUCGGUUUGGCUUGGGUUCGUUGGUUUGGACAGAAAAAAGCAUCUCUAUAUCUAUCAAACAACAACCAACCCAACCAAAGAUUAAAAACAAGAAAUCUAAGUAAUUGAAAGGAAAAUAAUCAUAACUAAAGAGAAGAAGAAGGAGAAAACUGAAGUGAAAAAGAACAAAAGUUGGUGACGGAAGGAAGACGAUGGACAAUGGUGAAACUUGACAUACGAUAGAGGAAAGAGGCAUGGCUUAUGGCGGCAACAUCUUUAACUUUUAUAGGGUUUUUUUAAUUUUAAUUAGGUUUAGAUAGGUAACCAUAGGGUGUAGAUGAUUCUAUUGUAACUUUAGCAAGCAAUUAAUAAAAGCUCGACACGUGGCUUAAAAUGCAGGAAAAUAUGAAAAAACUUUAAAACCAUGAGUUUUGAUAGUAUUAUGAAAUUAAAUUUGAAAACCGCACGAUUUUAAAAUUUUCUCGAAUUUUUCCGUACUUUAAAAUUCUGAAUUGAAAAAAUCUUUUAUAUUUGUUGUGUGUGUGUAGUUAGUUUGGUCAUGUUUAGUCGGUUUGCAAUUUUUUAAAUAGAUUCCAAAUCGAAGACAUUCGGGUUCAACUUUUAUAAACCGUGGUCCAAUCCGAAUAAAAUAGAUACCAACCCAAUCAAUUGGAAUUGAUCGGAUCGAAAUAGAUCGAUCGGGUUUGGUUAAAAUCCUCAACCCUAAAAAUAAAACAUAAAUUAUAUAAAUGGAACAUAAGACUUGUAAAUAGAAUAUAAACUAAGUAAAUUAAUAUAGGAGUAGUAAUUAUUGUAUUAUUAUUGGUAAAAAACAAGAACUUACAAUUGUAACAUAAAGCUUGUAAAUCAACAUAACGUGUAAAAUAAACAUAAAUUAUGUAAAUGGAACAUAAGCCUUAUACAAAAAAAAGAUAAGUGGUAAAUUUGUGUAUUAAUAGUAAACAAAAAAAGGCUGCAAAUGUAGCGUAAAAAUUAUAAAUUAAAUUAAAUGCAAGAUAACACAUAAAUUAAGUAAAUAGAAUAUAAAACUUAUAAAUUGAAGGUAAAAUUAAUUAAUUAAUAAAUGGGUGAUGAAUUGGCCUUAAGAUUUGUGAAAAACUUUAAAAAAAUAAUAUAAAACUUGUAAAUCACAUUAGGUAUAAAAUGAAACAUAAAUUUUGGAAAUCACACAUAAGAAUAGCAUGUGCAAGGUAAAACAAUUAAGUUAAUAUAGAAGUAGCGAAUUGGUCCUUAAAAUAUAUAUUUAGACAAUAAAGACUUGGAAAAAUGAAAGAAAAAUAUUAGAUUAAUA